This is a non-coding RNA of Caenorhabditis elegans, 73 nucleotides long. The record is from the annotation of a RefSeq genome assembly. NCBI's taxonomy places the organism in Eukaryota, Metazoa, Nematoda, Chromadorea, Rhabditida, Rhabditidae.
GGUCGCAUGGCGCAGUCGGUAGUGAGUUGGACCUCUGUUCCAGAGGUCACGGGUUCGAGUCCACCAGACGCCA